Molecule: ribosomal RNA, 423 nt
Filed under: uncultured bacterium
Lineage: Bacteria
Description: bacterial SSU rRNA
Rfam family: Bacterial small subunit ribosomal RNA
Source: RNAcentral
GACGAACGCUGGCGGCGUGCCUAAUACAUGCAAGUCGUACGCUUCUUUUUCCACCGGAGCUUGCUCCACCGGAAAAAGAAGAGUGGCGAACGGGUGAGUAACACGUGGGUAACCUGCCCAUCAGAAGGGGAUAACACUUGGAAACAGGUGCUAAUACCGUAUAACAAUCGAAACCGCAUGGUUUUGAUUUGAAAGGCGCUUUCGGGUGUCGCUGAUGGAUGGACCCGCGGUGCAUUAGCUAGUUGGUGAGGUAACGGCUCACCAAGGCCACGAUGCAUAGCCGACCUGAGAGGGUGAUCGGCCACAUUGGGACUGAGACACGGCCCAAACUCCUACGGGAGGCAGCAGUAGGGAAUCUUCGGCAAUGGACGAAAGUCUGACCGAGCAACGCCGCGUGAGUGAAGAAGGUUUUCGGAUCGUAAA